Molecule: long non-coding RNA, 785 nt
Filed under: Salmo salar (Atlantic salmon)
Lineage: Eukaryota; Metazoa; Chordata; Actinopteri; Salmoniformes; Salmonidae
Description: lncRNA (ENSSSAG00000085314.1)
Source: RNAcentral
CAAGGCAUGAGGUAGCCAUGCAGGUAUGGUCGGACCAAGGCAUGAGGUAGCCAUGCAGGUAUGGUAAGACCAAGGCAUGAGGUAGCCAUGCAGGUAUGUUCAGACCAAGGCAUGAGGUAGCCAUGCAGGUAUGUUCAGACCAAGGCAUGAGGUAGCCAUGCAGGUAUGGUCGGACCAAGGCAUGAGGUAGCCAUGCAGGUAUGGUCGGACCAAGGCAUGAGGUAGCCAUGCAGGUAUGUUCAGACCAAGGCAUGAGGUAGCCAUGCAGGUAUGUUCAGACCAAGGCAUGAGUCAUUUUUUGUGUGUGUUCAAUUAUGGUGUUGUUCAAGGUGAAUUUAUAUUUGUGUUUCUGACAUCUGGGUUCUCUCUGGAUAAUCAUGAUUUUCGUUUUUUAGAAAUGUACUGCCAGGGCCCAAUUAUGGCAAUAUUGGUGUAGAAUAUUAAGGUUCUGUUGAAGACCUUCUUUGGUUGGUGAUAGAAGAACCAAGUCAUCAGAAUAGUCCAACAUGUCUGCUAAUUCAUUGAUAUAAAUGUUGAAAAGGUUUGGACUCAAACUGCAACCUUGUCUCACACCUCGACGUUGUGAAAAUAAUUAUGUUCUUGGUUUUUGUACCUUUUUUUUUUUACUGCACACUUGUUUUCUGUGUACAUUCAUUUUAUUAGGUCAUACACCUUAUCACCAAGCCCACUUUGGAUAAUUUUGAAGAAUAGCUCUUUGUGCCAAAUAUAAUCAGCCUUUUUAAAGUUCAAUAAAGCAAGUAAUUUUUUCAUAUUUACAUUUUUUU